Macrosteles quadrilineatus (aster leafhopper) is the source of this 1048-nucleotide RNA transcript. It is a transcript of the gene named tolloid-like protein 1, with no coding region annotated. The record is from RefSeq and is a predicted model, not a curated record. NCBI's taxonomy places the organism in Eukaryota, Metazoa, Arthropoda, Insecta, Hemiptera, Cicadellidae. The transcript has 6 exons.
UUGUAGACAUGUUUCUGUUAUAACCGACCAAAUUCUAAAACAUUACAUUAGCAUUACGAUGAACCAACAACACCAUUUAUGGGUGAAACUAUUUCAAAAUUAUUACAAUGUGGUUUAGUUUAUUAAUGCUCUGUUUCAUUUCAGAAUAUUCUGUUUCCAUGUGUCUAGGACUUGACGUCAACAAUGAAACAGACUAUUAUGGCAAAGAUGAUGAUAUUAUUCCUCCUCAAAAUUCACACUAUCCCAGGGACUAUUCAAGCUCCAAUGAAGACAUGGUACCUGCAGCCACAUUUUUACAUACGCCCGUUUUGGAUCUAAAAUGGCCAAACGCUACUGUACCGUAUGUUUUUCAUCAUAACAUGAGAGACUCGGACCGCAAACAGACCGUCAAAGCCAUGAAGGAGUUCCACAAACACAGUUGUAUAAAGUUUAUUGAGUGGACGGGAGAACCUGAUUAUAUUAGGUGAAUGUUCAUCCCACGUAGGUAGACAGGGAGGACCACAACCUCUGUACCUCAGUCCUCGGUGUGCUCGCAGUGUAGGGGUGGCCAUGCAUGAGAUGCUUCACACACUGGGCUUUACACAUGAACAUAUGCGGCCAGACAGGGACAAGUACGUGUACAUCAACUACUCCAACAUCGACUACGCUUAUUGGAAAAAUUUUGAAAUUGAUUCGAAUGUCAAAUUGGACGAUUUUGGAGCUUCGUAUGAUUUCAGCAGCCUAAUGCAUUACCGACUCUGUGCCAUGAGCAAUAAUUCUUUACCAACAAUCAUUGCUAAGAUCAAGCCUAGAACAAAACUCAUUGGACAAAGAAUUGGUUUCAGCGAGCAAGACAUAAUCAAACUCAACAGAUUUUAUAAUUGUUCCUUGAAAGCGAACAAUGCGAAGGUGGUACUGGCAGAAAGUGAAAGCAUUUUACAAACACAUGACUGUGAUAAAAACUGUGACUGCUCCUCUAGAGAUGGAUCGGAAUCCAACGCUUAUCCUCAUUCAUGUGUUUUGAAAAUUAUACUCAUAGUUUAUACAUAUAAACAAUUAUUUCCUUAUA